Octopus sinensis (East Asian common octopus) is the source of this 261-nucleotide long non-coding RNA. RefSeq lists it as uncharacterized. The transcript is spliced from 2 exons. NCBI's taxonomy places the organism in Eukaryota, Metazoa, Mollusca, Cephalopoda, Octopoda, Octopodidae. The record is from RefSeq and is a predicted model, not a curated record.
AAUGUGUGUGUGUGUGUGUGUGUGUGUGUGUGUGUGUGUGUGUGUGUGUGUGUGUGCGUGUGUGUGUGUGUGUGUGUGUGUCCAGGAAUUGAGUUCGUGUUACUGCUAUCACGAGCCUGGUGGCAAUUGUUAACAGCGGUAUUUCCGAGUUUUCUUUUUGUGGGGGAGGGGAUUGUUCUCGUUGAUCAGAAAUAAUUCUCCAUGGCAACUUUCUGAAUUUAAGCAUACUAAUAAAUAAAUAAAUAAAUAAAUAAAUAAAUA